This is a long non-coding RNA of Schistocerca cancellata (South American locust), 149 nucleotides long. RefSeq lists it as uncharacterized. The record is from RefSeq and is a predicted model, not a curated record. NCBI's taxonomy places the organism in Eukaryota, Metazoa, Arthropoda, Insecta, Orthoptera, Acrididae. The transcript is spliced from 3 exons.
UCGGAAACGGUGGAAUCUAGAUAUAAGAGCGCACUCACACACAUGUUCACCAACACGCAGUUUAAGGUCUCCAUGAGCGGCGGCGUGGCAACGAGUAGAACCUCACUUCAGGGAGACUCACGUAAUUAGCGCGCUGGUGGCGGGAACUG